This is a small nuclear RNA of Bufo bufo (common toad), 195 nucleotides long. RefSeq annotates it as U2 spliceosomal RNA. NCBI's taxonomy places the organism in Eukaryota, Metazoa, Chordata, Amphibia, Anura, Bufonidae. The transcript has a single exon. The record is from RefSeq and is a predicted model, not a curated record.
AAAAAUUUAAAAAACGGAAAAAAAGGGAAAAAAAAUAAUAAAUCUGUUCUUUUCAGUUUAAUGUCUGAUACGUCCCCUAUCUGGGGACCAUAUAUUAAAUGGAUUUUUCGAACAGGGAGAUGGAAAAAGAGCUUGCUCUGUCCACUCCACGCAUUGACCUGGUAUUGCAGUACCUCCAGGACCGGUGCACCCCUU